RNAcentral lists this unclassified non-coding RNA (253 nucleotides) under uncultured Halomonadaceae bacterium. Its description in RNAcentral is "contains 16S-23S intergenic spacer region". It matches the Rfam family "Bacterial small subunit ribosomal RNA", at positions 524 to 776 of the family's 1533-position model. The record is from RNAcentral. Lineage: Bacteria; Pseudomonadati; Pseudomonadota; Gammaproteobacteria; Oceanospirillales; Halomonadaceae.
UACGGAGGGUGCGAGCGUUAAUCGGAAUUACUGGGCGUAAAGCGCGCGUAGGCGGUGUGAUAAGCCGGUUGUGAACGCCACGGGCUCAACUUGGGAACGGCAUCCGGAACUGUCAGGCUAGAGUGCAGGAGAGGAAGGUAGAAUUCCUGGUGUAGCGGUGAAAUGCGUAGAGAUCGGGAGGAAUGCCAGUGGCGAAGGCGGCCUUCUGGACUGACACUGACGCUGAGGUGCGAAAGCGUGGGGAGCAAACAGG